AAGCAGUGAGGUGACUCACAUUACCUGCUCCGGAGAGAAGAAACAGCUUGCAUUUGAAAACCUUCAAAAAUUCUUCUUAUUUCCAAACCAGGGUCAGUGCUCAAAUUACAUGCCUAUUAGGUUGAGAGGAGGAGAGGAAAUCUGUUCUGGGAGGUUGGAGGUGUAUCAUAAUGCUGAGUGGGGGUCUAUAUGUGCUGAUCUGUGGGACAUCAGGGAUGCUCAGGUGAUCUGCAGGCAGCUGGGUUGUGGGCCGGCGCUGAGUGCUAAUAGAAGAGCUGUUGAUGGUUCUGGUGGAGGAACUA
This is a long non-coding RNA of Astyanax mexicanus (Mexican tetra), 302 nucleotides long. RefSeq lists it as uncharacterized. Lineage: Eukaryota; Metazoa; Chordata; Actinopteri; Characiformes; Acestrorhamphidae. The record is from RefSeq and is a predicted model, not a curated record. The transcript is spliced from 3 exons.